UUAAAAAAUAAAUAAUUAUGUCAGAAUAAAUGAAAUGAACUUAAAAUUCAUAAAUAAGAA
Molecule: transfer RNA, 60 nt
Filed under: Protaplonyx sarcobati
Lineage: Eukaryota; Metazoa; Arthropoda; Insecta; Diptera; Cecidomyiidae
Description: tRNA-Leu
Source: RNAcentral